RNAcentral lists this long non-coding RNA (686 nucleotides) under Homo sapiens (human). Its description in RNAcentral is "HSALNT0226246". The record is from RNAcentral. Lineage: Eukaryota; Metazoa; Chordata; Mammalia; Primates; Hominidae.
AGGCUCCACACGGCUGCAAGAUGCAGCUCCCUCGAGGCCACCACUCUUAGGCUAGGCGGGACCCAGGCUGAGGGGCUUCACACACUACCCACGUCCCACCGGGCCCUUCCGUGAGGCUGCCCCGCGGGCCGCCCUGGCAUCAGCCGCCCCAGGGCUCUGGAUAUGCCACUUGGCCCCGUGGCACCCUGUGCAGCCAGGAGCCAGGGCGGCUGACAGCAGAGCCCCGGGGACUGGGCCUUCCCCGCCCCAGCAUCCAGGCGAGGCUCUCCCGGAGUUGGGAGAGCGUGCCCACAGCAUCACCUGCCUCCAGGAGCACCGAGGAGAAGUCCAGGGGCCAGAGCCGCAAGAAGCCGUCCUCAGAGCCCACAGCACACAUGGCCGGGGAGACGCUGAGGCUGCUGAUGGCAAUGCCGGGGCCUGGGGGCAGGGAGGCGUCAGUGCCUCGGUGUCCCUGCCACCCUGGCCACGUGGUGGGCGCCCUCUUACCUGAGCUGAAGGUCUGCUUCUGUGGGUGGGGACCGCCUGGAGUCCGUGUGGGGAGCAGGCGGCGGGCAUGCCGCACGACCAUGCGCUGACAGUCAAUCUCCAAGAUGUGGCCACUGCGGCUGCACACGAAGCUGCCCGAGGAGGCGGCAGGGAAGUCCACGGGGCAGGAACGCAGCACCCCGCCACGCAGCCGCCAGAGC